RNAcentral lists this transfer RNA (73 nucleotides) under Bos taurus (domestic cattle). It matches the Rfam family "tRNA". Rfam says of the family: Transfer RNA (tRNA) molecules are approximately 80 nucleotides in length. Their secondary structure includes four short double-helical elements and three loops (D, anti-codon, and T loops). Further hydrogen bonds mediate the characteristic L-shaped molecular structure. tRNAs have two regions of fundamental functional importance: the anti-codon, which is responsible for specific mRNA codon recognition, and the 3' end, to which the tRNAs corresponding amino acid is attached (by aminoacyl-tRNA synthetases). tRNAs cope with the degeneracy of the genetic code in two manners: having more than one tRNA (with a specific anti-codon) for a particular amino acid; and 'wobble' base-pairing, i.e. permitting non-standard base-pairing at the 3rd anti-codon position. The record is from Rfam by way of RNAcentral. Lineage: Eukaryota; Metazoa; Chordata; Mammalia; Artiodactyla; Bovidae. RNAcentral also lists the same sequence under 2 other names.
UCCCUGGGGGUUCAGUGGUUGGAACUCCAUGCUCCCAAUUUGGGGGACCCAGGUUCAAUCCCUGAUCGGGUAG